Non-coding RNA from Zootermopsis nevadensis, 1016 nucleotides. The record is from RefSeq and is a predicted model, not a curated record. Lineage: Eukaryota; Metazoa; Arthropoda; Insecta; Blattodea; Termopsidae.
UUCACCUUCCAGCCCUCUGGAGUAUAUUUCAACAUAUUUUAGAUCCUUUCUAGGCACACACACUAUUCACCACUCACAAUAUAAAAUGUAUAAUAAAAUCAAACAAAAAGAUAAUACUGUUAAUAUUAAUAAACUCCAACAUAUCUUUUUUGUAUAACUUGUGGAACAAUGUUUCUCAAACUUUGGUACCAGUAUCACUUGGGGUACCAGACAUGCUUUCCAUAGGUACCAUAAAUCCUUGUUCAUAUGCAUACGUACAGUAUUAAUUAAACGCGAGCUUUGACAAAUCCCAUUGUUCACGUGCAUUUAAAAUUAGUACGAGACACAUACAUUUUGAUAACCACUGUUCUAGAAGAAUUCCCGCUAAAGCGAACAAAAUAAAGCAGAAAACGACUACUAGGUAGCAGCACUAUGUACCAGCGACAUGAUACAGUGCCGACUUUCUGACUACAUACAUAACCUGUGUGAUUGCUGAUUAGAUGCAUCCGUGAUUAGAAGAUGCCUCCAUACACGAAUUGGGGCUGAACUGGGUUUCAGUUAACCAAGUCCGCUUGUCAGCCUCCAGAGAACUAGUGAUAAAGGGAAGACGGCUGUCCUUGGACUCACCACUGGAAAACCUUAAGUCCUACUUAGUAAUAAAGGGACUUAAACAGAACACUGCAAGGAAACUGUCCACAGACUUCAGCGGGCACAAGUUCUUCCAGUGCAAACAGAUUUUCAUUUUGUGAAGUAUCAUGCAGUAAAACAUUACUAAAUCAUUUAUAUUAAUUUUCACAGCACUGGGUUACAGAGCUUUAAAACGUAAAUAAAUUUGUCUUGAAGUGAAGAAUACUUAGAAGCUUUUAGAAGAUUCCAGAAGUGGAGUAAUUAGUUUCUACCGUACAAGAGUAUGAGGUGUGAAACACAUGACAGGGCCCCCAGUUGAACUUCAAUCCCACAGUUUAACAGUUUGCUGGUAUGCUAUCGCAACACAUGGCCAAUAAAGGUUAAUUAAAGGGACUCAUCAGUCUACAGUA